RNAcentral lists this ribosomal RNA (460 nucleotides) under uncultured bacterium. Its description in RNAcentral is "partial 16S ribosomal RNA". It matches the Rfam family "Bacterial small subunit ribosomal RNA", at positions 338 to 795 of the family's 1533-position model. The record is from RNAcentral.
CCUACGGGAGGCAGCAGUGAGGAAUAUUGGUCAAUGGACGAGAGUCUGAACCAGCCACGUAGCGUGAAGGAUGACUGCCAUAUGGGUUGUAAACUUCUUUUAUAAAGGAAUAAAACGAGGCACGUGUGCCUUUUUGCAUGUACUUUAUGAAUAAGGAUCGGCUAACUCCGUGCCAGCAGCCGCGGUAAUACGGAGGAUCCGAGCGUUGUCCGGAUUUAUUGGGUUUAAAGGGAGCGUAGAUGGGUUGUUAAGUCAGUUGUGAAAGUUUGCGGCUCAACCGUAAAAUUGCAAUUGAUACUGGCAGACUUGAGUACAGUUGAGGUAAGCGGAAUUCGUGGUGUAGCGGUGAAAUGCUUAGAUAUCACGAAGAACCCCGAUUGCGAAGGCAGCUUACUAAACUGUGACUGACAUUGAUGCUCGAAAGUGUGGGUAUCAAACAGGAUUAGAUACCCUUGUAGUC